ACCUGUGUCUUGUGAAUGACAGAGAGAGACCUGCUAUGGCUGAAGGUCUGGUGUCCUGCUCUGAUGUCAAUCUCCUUGCUCUGCAUCUGUUUCAUCCUGAGCAUGUUGGUGAAUAAGAAUAAUUCUGUAUACAGCAACAUUGGCAAGAGGCUCUCCAAGUUACAGAGCCAUCAGAGAUUCCUAAGUGUGGCCUGCAGGAGGGAGGCAGAAGGUCAGUUUGCAGGUAAGAAGCAACGAGACUUCCUUGGCU
Molecule: long non-coding RNA, 250 nt
Filed under: Cavia porcellus (domestic guinea pig)
Lineage: Eukaryota; Metazoa; Chordata; Mammalia; Rodentia; Caviidae
Description: lncRNA (ENSCPOG00000034096.1)
Source: RNAcentral